CUGUGUCGUAUUUUGUGACCCAUC
This 24-nucleotide non-coding RNA is filed under the name Arabidopsis thaliana (thale cress). The record is from RNAcentral. Lineage: Eukaryota; Viridiplantae; Streptophyta; Magnoliopsida; Brassicales; Brassicaceae.